RNAcentral lists this long non-coding RNA (346 nucleotides) under Brassica rapa (field mustard). RNAcentral describes it as "long non-coding RNA (BRAP_LNC004855)". The record is from RNAcentral. Lineage: Eukaryota; Viridiplantae; Streptophyta; Magnoliopsida; Brassicales; Brassicaceae.
UUAUCUAUUCGAUAACUAAUAUAUACCAAGCUUAAGUUUAUUAGUAUUUUGGACUAUAUAUCAUAGUAAUGAAUCUUAAUUCCGUACUAGCGCAUGAAGGACCAGCUCUUGGUAUACCGGAACUAAAUGUUCACUUUGAUAAGAAUUUAAGAUUAAUAUAUGUACAUGUUUUUAGCUUUUAAAUUAAUUAAAGAUCUUGGAUAAAAAAAAUUAUGAUAUUUUAUUAAUUUAUAGAGUCAUUAAUUUAAAAAGGUUUUAUUUUUAGUUUUUUCUAUUUUUCUAUUUUAUUUAUAAAAUAAAAAAUAUUUUAUUUUACGAUAUACAUUAAUUAAAUUUUAGAAAUUCG